AGUGAACGCUGGCGGCAGGCCUAACACAUGCCAGUCGAGCGGCAGCGGGUCCUUCGGGAUGCCGGCGAGCGGCGGACGGGUGAGGAAUACAUCGGAAUCUGCCCUGUCGUGGGGGAUAACCUAGGGAAACUUAGGCUAAUACCGCAUACGACCUACGGGUGAAAGCGGGGGAUCGCAAGACCUCGCGCGACAGGAUGAGCCGAUGUCCGAUUAGCUAGUUGGCGGGGUAAAGGCCCACCAAGGCGACGAUCGGUAGCUGGUCUGAGAGGAUGAUCAGCCACACUGGGACUGAGACACGGCCCAGACUCCUACGGGAGGCAGCAGUGGGGAAUAUUGGACAAUGGGCGCAAGCCUGAUCCAGCCAUGCCGCGUGGGUGAAGAAGGCCUUCGGGUUGUAAAGCCCUUUUGUCCGGGAAGAAAUCGUCUGGGCUAAUACCCCGGGCGGAUGACGGUACCGGAAGAAUAAGCACCGGCUAACUUCGU
This 483-nucleotide ribosomal RNA is filed under the name uncultured bacterium. RNAcentral's name for it is "partial 16S ribosomal RNA". It matches the Rfam family "Bacterial small subunit ribosomal RNA", at positions 30 to 506 of the family's 1533-position model. The record is from RNAcentral.